This 1419-nucleotide ribosomal RNA is filed under the name uncultured bacterium. Its description in RNAcentral is "bacterial SSU rRNA". It matches the Rfam family "Bacterial small subunit ribosomal RNA". The record is from RNAcentral.
AGAGUUUGCUUCUGGCUCAGAACGAACGCUGGCAGCGUGGAUUAGGCAUGCAAGUCGAACGGGAUCCAGAGAGGUAGCAAUACUGAUCUGGUGAGAGUGGCGGAAGGGCGAGGAAGGCAUGGACAACCUGUCUUCAGGGUGGGGAUAACCCCGCGAAAGCGGGGCUAAUACCGAAUGUGGCGUAUGGGGCGCAUGCUCUAUGCGUUAAAGGUGGGGAUCGCAAGACCUGCCCCCUGAUGAGGGGUCCGUGUGCCAUCAGCUUGUUGGUGGGGUAACGGCCUACCAAGGCAUACGGCUAGCUGGUCUGAGAGGAUGAUCAGCCGCACUGGGACUGAGACACUGCCCAGACUCCUACGGGGGGCUGCAGUCGAGGAUCAUUCGCAAUGGGGGGAACCCUGACGAUGCGACGCUGCGUGGAGGAUGACGGCCUUCGGGUUGUAAACUCCUGUCAUGGGGGAAGAGCUAUGGGGGGUUAAUAGCCUCUCUGAUGGACGGUACCCCAAGAGGAAGCCACGGCUAACUCUGUGCCAGCAGCCACGGUAAUACGUAGGGGGCAAGCGUUGUCCGGAAUGAUUGGGCGUAAAGGGCGCGUAGGCGGCCAACUAAGUCUGGAGUGAAAGUCCUGCUUUUAAGGUGGGAAUUGCUUUGGAAACUGGAUGGCUUGAGUGUAGGAGAGGUUAGUGGAAUUCCCGGUGUAGCGGUGAAAUGCGUAGAGAUCGGGAGGAACACCAGUGGCGAAGGCGACUAACUGGACUAUGACUGACGCUGAGGCGCGAAAGUGUGGGGAGCAAACAGGAUUAGAUACCCUGGUAGUCCACACUGUAAACGAUGAAUGCUAGGUGUAGGGGGUAUCGACCCCUUCUGUGCCGGAGUAAACACAAUAAGCAUUCCGCCUGGGGAGUACGGCCGCAAGGUUGAAACUCAAAGAAAUUGACGGGGGGCCGCACAAGCAGCGGAGCAUGUGGUUUAAUUUGAAGCAACGCGAAGAACCUUACCAGGUCUUGACAUCCAGUAAAAUCUGUAGAGAUACAGUGUGCCUUCGGGCGUACUGAGACAGGUGGUGCAUGGUUGUCGUCAGCUCGUGUCGUGAGAUGUUGGGUUAAGUCCCGCAACGAGCGCAACCCUUGUGAUCAGUUACUAACGGGUAAUGCCGAGGACUCUGAUAAGACUGCCGGGGACAACUCGGAGGAAGGUGGGGGGGACGUCAAAUCAUCAUGCCCCUUAUGACCUGGGGUACACACGUGCUACAAUGGCCACUACACAGAGAAGAGAAUUCGAGAGGAAGAGCGGAUCUCAAAAAAGAGGUCCCAGUUCGGAUUGUGGGGUGCAACCCGCCCACACGAAGUCGGAGUUGCUAGUAGUCGCGGAUCAGCAUGCCGCGGUGAAUAAGUUCCCGGGCCUUGUACUCACCGCCCGUCA